This 324-nucleotide long non-coding RNA is filed under the name Dermacentor andersoni. RNAcentral's name for it is "uncharacterized LOC126537114". The record is from RNAcentral. Lineage: Eukaryota; Metazoa; Arthropoda; Arachnida; Ixodida; Ixodidae.
AGACCAGCUCCCCAGCUGAGAAACAAUUUGUGAAAAGCAAAAGCUUUAAAAAUGAAACUUAAUAAUGACAACAUCGGUGUGCGCAUGAGUGCAUUACCAUAUCAGGCAGCCUGCCUGUUCUCUUGCAAUAUUUAACAAGGUAGUGAAACAAAUGCCAUUGGUGGCACAUGGUUAGUCGUCAAUGUAAACAACAGGUCAAAGACCUGAUAAUCAAUAUCUAAUGUGCACACACUUAGCAGAUGGCAAAAGCAUGUGGCUGCUCUACCUUAAAUUCCACUUCACUGCAGUUGGCAAUCUGUUGCGUUUCAUGUUGUUUCCAUAGAA